Molecule: unclassified non-coding RNA, 229 nt
Filed under: plant metagenome
Description: partial contains small subunit ribosomal RNA, internal transcribed spacer 1, and 5.8S ribosomal RNA
Source: RNAcentral
UCUCCGUAGGUGAACCUGCGGAGGGAUCAUUACAGAGUUCAUGCCCUACCGGGUAGAUCUCCCACCCUAUGUUAUUAUUACUUCGUUGCUUUGGCGGGCCGUUAGGCUCCGGCCCGACUACCGGCCCCGGCUGGUAAGCGCCCGCCAGAGGACCCAAAACCCUGAAUAUUAGUGUCGUCUGAGUACUAUAUAAUAGUUAAAACUUCCAACAACGGAUCUCUUGGUUCUG